UGGAACUUUAAAUCAGUCCUGUGAGGCUGGCAAGGUCAUAGCUUGAUUAUUUAAGCUUAUUUGUGCUAUAUAUUUAGCUCAAUCAAGGCUUUCUGCCGCUUCCAGGCAGAAAGCCUUUUUAAU
Sporomusa malonica is the source of this 123-nucleotide regulatory RNA element. It matches the Rfam family "PyrR binding site". Rfam says of the family: This family represents the PyrR binding site and terminator structure. This RNA structure is found upstream of a variety of genes involved in pyrimidine biosynthesis and transport. The alignment also includes a portion of the antiterminator structure. The record is from Rfam. NCBI's taxonomy places the organism in Bacteria, Bacillati, Bacillota, Negativicutes, Selenomonadales, Sporomusaceae.